AUUGAACGCUGGCGGCAGGCUUAACACAUGCAAGUCGAACGAGUGGCGGACGGGUGAGUAAUGCUUGGGAAUCUAGCUUAUGGAGGGGGAUAACUACGGGGAACUGUAGCUAAUACCGCGUAACAUAGGAUGAGCCCAAGUGGGAUGUGGUAGGUGGUGAGGUAAAGGCUCACCAAGCCGACGAUCCCUAGCUGGUAUGAGAGGAUGACCAGCCACACUGGGACUGAGACACGGCCCAGACUCCUACGGGAGGCAGCAGUGGGGAAUAUUGCGCAAUGGGGGCAACCUGACGCAGCCAUGCCGCGUGAAUGAAGAAGGCCUUCGGGUUGUAAAGUUCUUUCGGUGGCGAGGCGUUAACUACAGAAGAAGCACCGGCUAACUCCGUGCCAGCAGCCGCGGUAAUAC
This 405-nucleotide ribosomal RNA is filed under the name uncultured bacterium. RNAcentral's name for it is "partial 16S ribosomal RNA". It matches the Rfam family "Bacterial small subunit ribosomal RNA", at positions 30 to 526 of the family's 1533-position model. The record is from RNAcentral.